Molecule: ribosomal RNA, 513 nt
Filed under: uncultured rumen archaeon
Lineage: Archaea
Description: bacterial SSU rRNA
Rfam family: Archaeal small subunit ribosomal RNA
Source: RNAcentral
AAACUGAGGAUAAUACCGGAUAGGCAAUUAUUCCUGCAAUGGUUUUUUGUUUAAAUGUUUUUUCGCCUAAGGAUGGGUCUGCGGCCGAUUAGGUAGUUGGUUAGGUAAUGGCUUACCAAGCCGUUGAUCGGUACGGGUUGUGAGAGCAAGAGCCCGGAGAUGGAACCUGAGACAAGGUUCCAGGCCCUACGGGGUGCAGCAGGCGCGAAACCUCCGCAAUGUGAGAAAUCGCGACGGGGGGAUCCCAAGUGCCAUUCUUAACGGGAUGGCUUUUCAUUAGUGUAAAGAGCUUUUGGAAUAAGAGCUGGGCAAGACCGGUGCCAGCCGCCGCGGUAACACCGGCAGCUCUAGUGGUAACAAUUUUUAUUGGGCCUAAAGCGUCCGUAGCCGGUUUAAUAAGUCUCUGGUGAAAUCCUGUAGCUUAACUGUGGGAAUUGCUGGAGAUACUAUUAGACUUGAGACCGGGAGAGGUUAGAGGUACUCCCAGGGUAGAGGUGAAAUUCUGUAAUCCUG